GACGAACGCUGGCGGCGUGCUUAACACAUGCAAGUCGAACGGAAAGGCCCUGCUUUUGUGGGGUGCUCGAGUGGCGAACGGGUGAGUAACACGUGAGUAACCUGCCCUUGACUUUGGGAUAACUUCAGGAAACUGGGGCUAAUACCGGAUAGGAGCUCCUGCUGCAUGGUGGGGGUUGGUAAGUUUCGGCGGUUGGGGAUGGACUCGCGGCUUAUCAGCUUGUUGGUGGGGUAGUGGCUUACCAAGGCUUUGACGGGUAGCCGGCCUGAGAGGGUGACCGGCCACAUGGGGAGUGAGAGACGGCCGGGCCGGAUAGGGGAGGAAGAAGGGGGGAAGAUGGCAGGAGGGGCGGAGGCCGGAUGCAGCAACGCCGCGUGCGGGAGGAGGGUCGUCGGGGUGUAACACGGGUUCGCCGGUGACGAAGCGUGAGGGACGGGAAUGGGUAAAGAAGCACCGGCGAACUACGGG
RNAcentral lists this ribosomal RNA (468 nucleotides) under uncultured bacterium. RNAcentral describes it as "partial 16S ribosomal RNA". It matches the Rfam family "Bacterial small subunit ribosomal RNA", at positions 28 to 507 of the family's 1533-position model. The record is from RNAcentral.